GGACAGUGCUCUAUAUCUACUUCAGGACCAGACCUCUCUCUCUCUCUCUAUAUCUUCACGAGUGAAAGCAACUCUCCUCUCUCUCGAAGCAGUAGUAGCAAUGGCGGAGAAGUCGAGCUUCUUCGUCCAUUUCACCAUUCUUCUUCUCAUACUGAUUAUAACAAUAACAUGUUGCGAGGGAGGGAGGAAUCCUGUGCGGCGUUCAUCGGGGAGAACAUUGAUGGACGGCCACGAUCUCUCGAGGCCUCUGAAGCUGACGUUUGCUGGUCCUUCUCGGAACUGGACUGACGCCAUUCCCAUCGGCAAUGGCCGUCUCGGAGCUACGAUCUGGGGAGGCGUCUCCUCCGAGACUCUCAACAUCAAUGAGGACACGAUUUGGACUGGAGUACCAGCUGAUUACACAAACCCGAAUGCUCCAGAAGCAUUAGCACAAGUCAGGAAGCUUGUUGAUGAAAGAAAAUACCCUGAAGCUACUUCAGAAGCUGUCAAAUUAUCAGGCCAUCCUUCUGAUGUUUAUCAGCUAGUGGGAGAUUUGAAUCUACAGUUUGACAGUUCCCACCGUAAGUACACUCAAGCAUCUUACCGCCGUGAACUCGAUUUGGAAACAGCACUAGCUAAAGUAAGCUACUCUGUCGGCGCUGUGGAGUUCUCAAGAGAGUUCUUCGCUUCUCAUCCGGAUCAAGUGAUCGUACUCAAGAUCUCUUCAAGCAAACCGGGGUCACUCUCUUUCAAAGCAUCUUUCGACAGCGACUUGCACCAUCACUCGGAGACUAAAGGGAACCAGAUUCUGAUGCAAGGAAGCUGCCGCCCCAAGCGUCUCCCCGUGAACUUGAGCAAAAGCAUCAACGCCACGAAUAUACCUUACGAUGAUCACAAAGGUUUGCAGUUCGCUGCCGCUCUAGAAGUGAGAGUAAGCAGUGGCGGCUCUGUGUCUUCCUUGGGCGGCAAGAAACUAAGCGUUGAGAAAGCAGACUGGGCGGUUCUGGUUCUGACGGCUGCGUCUAACUUCGACGGUCCGUUUACCAUGCCGGUUGAUUCCAAGAGAGACCCCUCUAAGGAAUGCGUUGACAGAAUCAGCUCGGUUCAGAGAUACUCCUACUCUGAUCUUUACGGUCGUCAUUUGGGAGAUUAUCAGAAGCUUUUCAACCGAGUCUCUCUGCAACUCUCAGGUGGUGGUAAUAAAACAGAAGCAGCUUCAACUGCUGAAAGGGUGAGAUCGUUUAGAAAGGAUGAGGAUCCUUCGUUGGUGGAGCUUUUGUUCCAGUACGGUCGGUACCUUCUUAUAUCUUCUUCGAGGCCUGGAACUCAGGUGGCUAACUUGCAGGGGAUAUGGAAUAGGGACAUUCAGCCGCCGUGGGAUGGUGCUCCUCAUCUGAACAUUAAUCUCCAGAUGAACUAUUGGCAUUCUCUUCCUGCUAAUAUCAUGGAAUGCCAAGAACCUUUGUUUGAUUACAUGUCUGCUUUAGCUAUCAAUGGCCGCAAGACAGCACAAGUGAACUACGGAGCAAGUGGUUGGGUGGCACAUCAAGUAUCAGACAUAUGGGCGAAAACUUCACCGGAUAGAGGUGAGGCAGUGUGGGCUCUCUGGCCAAUGGGUGGAGCUUGGCUCUGCACUCAUGCAUGGGAGCAUUAUACAUACACAAUGGACAAGGAAUUUCUUAAAAAGAAAGGGUAUCCAUUGUUGGAAGGAUGCACAUCGUUUCUUUUGGACUGGCUAAUCAAAGGCAAAGACGGAUAUCUUCAGACUAACCCUUCCACAUCCCCUGAGCAUAUGUUCACAUCUCCAGAUGGCAAACCCGCCAGCGUUAGCUACUCAUCAACCAUGGACAUUGCCAUUGUAAAAGAAGUCUUCUCUGCUAUUGUUUCCGCAUCAGAGGUUUUGGGGAAAACGAAUGAUACUCUUAUAGCAAAAGUCAUUGCUGCACAAGGAAACCUUCCACCCACUAGACUAUCAAAGGACGGUUCUAUAAUGGAAUGGGCAGAGGACUUUGAGGACCCUGAGGUGCAUCAUAGACACGUUUCACAUCUCUUUGGUCUGUUCCCUGGUCACUCAAUCACACUUGAGAAGUCUCCUGAACUUGCUAAAGCAGUGGAAGUGUCACUUAAGAAAAGAGGAGAGGAAGGACCAGGUUGGUCCACCACUUGGAAAGCUGCCUUGUGGGCAAGGCUUCACAAUAGUGAGCACGCGUAUCGAUUGGUUACUCAUAUUUUUGAUCUGGUGGAUCCGUUAAACGAACGUAACUAUGAAGGAGGACUCUAUACUAACUUGUUCACAGCUCACCCGCCCUUCCAGAUCGAUGCCAACUUUGGAUUCUCAGCAGCUGUAGCUGAAAUGUUAGUGCAGAGCACAACGAAGGAUCUGUAUUUACUACCGGCGCUUCCUGCGGAUAAAUGGCCUAACGGUUAUGUGAAAGGGCUGAGGGCACGUGGCGGUGUGACAGUGAACAUAAGGUGGACGGAAGGGAGCCUUGUGGAGUUUGGUCUUUCGUCGGAACAGAGUGUGUCUACCAGAAUAGUGUACAGAGGAAACUCUGUGGCUACCACAUUGUCGCCAGGGAAAGUCUUUACUUUUGACAAAGAUUUGAAAUGCAUUCGGACAGAGAAGUUAUAGAAGUAAAGAGACGAGAUGUUGAUUCUCAUCUGUUUUUGUUGUCAUAUGUUUUGUUCAUCUAAGAGUGAGGAAAAAGCAUAUUGUUUGUCCAUCGUUCAACGAGCUAUGUACAAGUGUAACACACAUGUAUCCAAAACGUUUACAGUGAAGUAAUGUAUCUUGGUAUCUAUCUACUUUGUGUCGUUACCUUUCGAUGUAUCUUCACUCUUCAGUCUCUAUCAAUAUAUUAACAUGAUUAUAUGAGAA
Brassica rapa (field mustard) is the source of this 2857-nucleotide RNA transcript. It is a transcript of the gene named alpha-L-fucosidase 2, with no coding region annotated. The record is from RefSeq and is a predicted model, not a curated record. NCBI's taxonomy places the organism in Eukaryota, Viridiplantae, Streptophyta, Magnoliopsida, Brassicales, Brassicaceae.